UACGGAAGGCAGCAGUGGGGAAUAUUGCACAAUGGGCGCAAGCCUGAUGCAGCCAUGCCGCGUGUAUGAAGAAGGCCUUCGGGUUGUAAAGUACUUUCAGUCGUGAGGAAGGUGUUAAGGUUAAUAACCUUAGCAAUUGACGUUAGCGACAGAAGAAGCACCGGCUAACUCCGUGCCAGCAGCCGCGGUAAUACGGAGGGUGCGAGCGUUAAUCGGAAUUACUGGGCGUAAAGGGCACGCAGGCGGUUAAUUAAGUUGGAUGUGAAUCCCCGGGCUUAACCUGGGAAUGGCAUUCAAGACUGGUUAGCUAGAGUCUUGUAGAGGGGGUAGAAUUCCAUGUGUAGCGGUGAAAUGCGUAGAGAUGUGGAGGAAUACCGGUGGCGAAGGCGGCCCCCUGGACAAAGACUGACGCUCAUGUGCGAAAGCGUGGGGAGCAAACAGGGAUUAGAUACC
RNAcentral lists this ribosomal RNA (453 nucleotides) under uncultured bacterium. RNAcentral's name for it is "bacterial SSU rRNA". It matches the Rfam family "Bacterial small subunit ribosomal RNA", at positions 340 to 786 of the family's 1533-position model. The record is from RNAcentral.